GUGAGUUGCUACUUUUUAUUAUAUUCUGGCUUUUCUUUGUUAAAUUCUGUUAAGGAAAAUAGCAUAUGCUUGCUAGGAUACAUUGUAAAAAAUCUGGCAGUAAAAUUAAGGAUGGUUGUGUCAUUUUAUUUGAUUCUUUUGGAUUAACUUGAUUUGCGAAUUUGAAGCAUUUUGGGUUGAAGUAAGUGAAAGGUUAGUUCUUUGGUUUUCAAAAUAUUUUAGAAUUAAUACAAGUGGUAUAUGCUGAAUUUUGCGCAUAUCAAAUGUAGAAAUGUAGGAAUGCAUUUUAACUUUGUUAGUCUAUUCAAGUUCUAAGCAAUUCUUCAUAGUUGAGGUUCACACUACGAGUCAUCAUUUUAACACGUGAUGCAUUCACUAGUAAGGAUUUUCCUAUACCUUUUACAAAUAAUGUUGCUUCUUGAUACUUGGGGCCUUGCAAAAAAAUCCUAUUUAUGCUUAAGAAGGGCCUUGUUGAUUGCAGAUUUCUAUUUCCGGCUCUUGGAG
Molecule: unclassified non-coding RNA, 504 nt
Filed under: Hevea brasiliensis (rubber tree)
Lineage: Eukaryota; Viridiplantae; Streptophyta; Magnoliopsida; Malpighiales; Euphorbiaceae
Source: RNAcentral